GGAAAUCUCAACCCAAAAAAGGGCGUUUAGUAAUUCUAAAAGGGACUACAGGAUGUAAAACAAUAGUUUUGGCAGUUAAAGUUUGAGAUUCGAUGGUGCCGUAGAUCCGUUUGGUCAUCAGGUGUAACGAGCCACACCCAUGUCUAGCUAGAGUAGUGUGCUAGGCUCAGACUAGAGAAGAAACGGGGAACAAAGUGAUGAAAGAAUGAUCAUACCGAGGGAAUUCACUCAUAACUAACAAGAAUGAUAACGUGCUCUGACUUGAGCGGUUUAGGAACUGCUGGAAGGCUAUAGGGGAAUAAAGAUGGAAUGACUUCAAAUUUUUAGGUCCGUAUGAUCUGAAAUACUUGCACACAAACCGCGAGAAAGCGUUCCUGGAAAUCUCAACCCAAAAAAGGACGUUUAGUAAUUCUAAAAGGGACUACAGGAUGAAAAACAAUAGUUCUGGCAGUUAUUGUUUGAGAUUCGAUAAUCUCGUAGAUCCGUUUGGUCAUCAGGUGUAACGAGCCACACCCAUGUCUAGCUAGAGUAGUGUGCUAGGCUCAGACUAGAGAAGAAACGGGGAACAAACUGAUGAAAGAAUGAUCAUACCGAGGGAAUUCACUUAGAACUAACAAGAAUGAUAACGUGCUCCGACUGGAGCGGUUUAGGAACUGCUGGAAGGCUCUAGGGGAAUAAAGAAGGAACGACUUCUAAUUUUUAGGUCCGUAUGAUUUGAAAUAUGUGCACACAAACCACGAGAAAGCGUUCCUAGAAAUCUCGGCCCAAAAGAGGACGUUUAGUAUUCUAAAAGGGACUACAGAAUGAAAAACAAUAGUUUUGGCAGUUAAAGUUUGAGAUUUGACGGUGCCGUAGAUCUGUUUGGUCAUCAGGGGUUACGAGCCACACCCAUGUCUAGCUAGAAUAGUGUGUUAGGCUCAGGCUAGAAAAGAAACGGGGAACAAAGUGAUGAAAGAAUGAUCAUACCGAGGGAAUUCACUCAGAACUAACAAGAAUGAUAACAUGCUCCGACUGGAGCGGUUUAGGAACUGCUGGAAGGCUCUAGGGGAAUAAAGAUGGAAUGACUUCUAAUUUUUAGGUCCGUAUGAUUUGAAAUACUUGCACACAAACCGCGCGAAAGCGUUCCUGGAAAUCUCAGCCCAAAAAAGGACGUUUAGUAAUUCUAAAAGGGACUACAGGAUGAAAAACAAUAGUUUUGGCAGUUAAAGUAUGAGAUUCAACGGUGCCGUAGAUCCGUUUGGUCAUUAGGUGUUACGAGCCACACCCAUGUCUAGCUAGAAUAGUGUGCUAGGCUCAGGCUAGAGAAGAAACGGGGAACAAACUGAUGAAAGAAUGAUCAAACCGAGGGAAUUCACUCAGAACUAACAAUAAUGAUAACGUGCUCCGACUGGAGCGGUUUAGGAACUGCUGGAAGUCUCUAGGGGAAUAAAGAUGGAAUGACUUCUAAUUUUUACGUUCGUAUGAUUUGAAAAACUUGCCCAUAAACCGCGCGAAAGUGUUCCUGGAAAUCUCAGCCCAAAAAAGGACGUUUAGUAAUUUUAAAAGGGACUACACGAUGAAAAACAAUAGUUUUGGCAGGUAAAGUUUGAGAUUCGACAGUGCCGUAGAUCCGUUUGGUCAUCAGGUGUUACGAGCCACACCCAUGUCUAGCUAGAAUAGUAUGUUACGCUCAGGUUAGAGAAGAAACGGGGAACAAACUGAUGAAAGAUGAUCAUACCAAGGGAAUUCACUCAGAACUAACAAGAAUGAUAACGUGCUCCGACUGGAGCGGUUUAGGAACUGCUGGAAGGCUCUAGGGGAAUAAAGAUGGAAUGACUUCUAAUUUUUACGUCUGUAUGAUUUGAAAUACUUGCACACAAACAACGCAAAAGCAUUCCUGGAAAUCUCAUCCUAAAAAAGGACGUUUAGUAAUUCUAAAAGGGACUACAGGAUGAAAAAUAAUAGUUUGGGAAGUUAAAAUUUGAGAUUCGAUAGUGCCGUAGAUCCGUUUGGUCAUCAGGUGUUAGGAGCCACACCCAUGUCUAGCUAGAAUAGUGUGUUAGGCUCAGGCUAGAGAAGAAACAGGGAACAAACUGAUGAAA
This 2081-nucleotide long non-coding RNA is filed under the name Triticum aestivum (bread wheat). RNAcentral describes it as "long non-coding RNA (TAES_LNC019907)". Lineage: Eukaryota; Viridiplantae; Streptophyta; Magnoliopsida; Poales; Poaceae. The record is from RNAcentral.